Molecule: ribosomal RNA, 497 nt
Filed under: uncultured bacterium
Lineage: Bacteria
Description: partial 16S ribosomal RNA
Rfam family: Bacterial small subunit ribosomal RNA
Source: RNAcentral
GAUGAACGCUGGCGGCGUGCUUAACACAUGCAAGUCGAACGAAGCACCUUAUUCUGAUUUCUUCGGAAUGAAAAAUUUGGUGACUGAGUGGCGGACGGGUGAGUAACGCGUGGGUAACUUGCCUCAUACGGGGGGAUAACAGUUAGAAACGACUGCAAAUACCGAAUAAGACCAAGCCACGCAUUGGUGCAGGGGAAAAAACUCCGGUGGUAUGAGAUGGACCCGCGUCUGAUUAGGUAGUUGGUGGGGUAACGGCCUACCAAGCCGACGAUCAGUAGCCGACCUGAGAGGGUGACCGGCCACAUUGGGACUGAGACACGGCCCAAACUCCUACGGGAGGCAGCAGUGGGGAAUAUUGCACAAUGGGGGAAACCCUGAUGCAGCGACGCCGCGUGAGCGAUGAAGUAUUUCGGUAUGUAAAGCUCUAUCAGCAGGGAAGAAAAUGACGGUACCUGACUAAGAAGCACCGGCUAAAUACGUGCCAGCCGCCGCGGUAA